CUACGGGUUGCACCAGUGAGGAAUAUUGCACAAUGGGGGGAACCCUGAUGCAGCAACGCCGCGUGGAGGAUGACGCAUUUCGGUGUGUAAACCCCUUUUAUAUGUCAAGAAAAUGACGGUAGCAUAUGAAUAAGCGCCGGCUAACUCCGUGCCAGCAGCCGCGGUAAUACGGAGGGUGCAAGCGUUACUCGGAAUCACUGGGCGUAAAGGACGCGUAGGCGGGUUGGAAAGUCAGGUGUGAAAUCCUACAGCUUAACUGUAGAACUGCACUUGAAACUUCUAAUCUAGAGUAUGGGAGGGGGAGAUGGAAUUAGUGGUGUAGGGGUAAAAUCCGUAGAUAUCACUAGGAAUACCUAAAGCGAAGGCGAUCUCCUGGAACAUUACUGACGCUAAGGCGUGAAAGCGUGGGGAGCAAACAGGAUUAGAUACCCCGGUAGUC
RNAcentral lists this ribosomal RNA (439 nucleotides) under uncultured bacterium. RNAcentral's name for it is "partial 16S ribosomal RNA". It matches the Rfam family "Bacterial small subunit ribosomal RNA", at positions 339 to 795 of the family's 1533-position model. The record is from RNAcentral.